UGGGGAAGUAAUUGCACAAUGGGGGAAACCCGUGAUGCAGCAACGCCGCGUGAGUGAUGAAGGUUUUCGGAUCGUAAAGCUCUGUCUUUGGGGAAGAUAAUGACGGUACCCAAGGAGGAAGCCACGGCUAACUACGUGCCAG
RNAcentral lists this ribosomal RNA (142 nucleotides) under uncultured bacterium. Its description in RNAcentral is "partial 16S rRNA". It matches the Rfam family "Bacterial small subunit ribosomal RNA", at positions 355 to 511 of the family's 1533-position model. The record is from RNAcentral.